AUUAUCCAUUUUUAAAAAUGCCCUAUAAAAGCCAAUUUUAAAACCCUAAAAAUCACUUCCUCAGCCACCCCACAAAUGUGCCGCAGCUCUCCAUCGACUCCACCAUUCCAGUCCUCUCCUAUUUCCGACCAUGAAACGACGAAGCGAGGUUGCCUUUCGACGAAUCUCACGACGGUACAUGCGUGUAUGGGAAUUGCUGCGACGUGGGGCAUGCACGGCGCUGGAGGUUGCUAAGACGUGGGAUGUUGUUGCGAGGGAAGAACGUGGGCAGUUGCGGCAUAGGGCGAUGGUGGCGUCAAGGCUCUCUGCUGGUUAGGCUAGGGAUUUGGGUUAAUGACUUGGGCUUGUAAUGGGUUUGGGCCUUAGGCUUAGUUGGGCCCGGACAAUAAUUGGGUAUUACAUAUGGCAUUGAGAUAUAGUGUUAAAAGAAAUUAUGCGUUCAUGAAUAAAACGUCAAAUGAUUUGGUAUUGGGCUAUGCACUUAAGACAUGAAAAUGCAAAUUGAUUUAGUUGAUAGUUGAGUCACAUAAUGAUUGUAUUGACACUAUGUUUCUAUUGAUUAUUGAUUUAAAUCAUGAAAGUAUCAUUAAGUCCUAUAA
Gossypium raimondii (Peruvian cotton) is the source of this 599-nucleotide long non-coding RNA. RefSeq lists it as uncharacterized. The transcript has 2 exons. The record is from RefSeq and is a predicted model, not a curated record. Lineage: Eukaryota; Viridiplantae; Streptophyta; Magnoliopsida; Malvales; Malvaceae.